Molecule: transfer RNA, 72 nt
Filed under: Marmota monax (woodchuck)
Lineage: Eukaryota; Metazoa; Chordata; Mammalia; Rodentia; Sciuridae
Description: tRNA.Ala
Rfam family: tRNA
About the family: Transfer RNA (tRNA) molecules are approximately 80 nucleotides in length. Their secondary structure includes four short double-helical elements and three loops (D, anti-codon, and T loops).
Source: RNAcentral
GGUGCUGUGGAUCAGUGGUAGAGUGCUCGCCUAGCAUGUGUGAGGUACUGGGUUCGAUCCUCAGCACCACAU